UCGCAAACUACAACACGACUGAUUGAUUCAUAUUUAUCUCAAGUUUUCUCUUGGUUCAAACAACAAGAUCGACAAUAAAAGACAGCUAAGAUUCAAUGAAAAAUAUGUAUUGCACUUGGUAAGAAUGAGAACCAAGUCUGAUCCAGAAUCCCCCCACCCCUCUGUUUUGCACAGCGGCAUCUGCAGAAUCAUACUGGUAUUAUUAGAGCAUUUAAACAGCUUAUUCAUGCGAGUGGUGCAAGUGGCCUAGUUAUUGACAGGGAAACGAGCCCAGACCACUCAGAAGAAUCUUGACCUGGAUUUCAAGUCAUCAGAAAUAUUACACCACCUGGCUGUCUCUCCUCAAAACUGUUAGCACUUAAUUACACUGUUCUGUUCAUAUCUCCACCACAGUUCAGUUUACAUCCCUCAGCUCCACUACAGACUCCAUCUUAUUUCACAUUCAUUCUCAUCAGUACGGUUUGAGUAGGAUUUGGUUUGAGUGUUUUAAUCUGGAGACACUGUAGUAGUAGCAGCAAAAUGUUGUAUUGUCUUUGUGGUAGAAAACACACCAUUUUGUUGUGUUGUUCAUUUCUAGGUUUCACCAUUCCCUUCCAGUGGCUCUACGUCCCUACUCCCUACGUCACACACAUUGCAUGUUUACAACAUGUCUAUGGUACCGAGAGGGGGAUUCUCAAAUGAUCCGCCAGUAGAGAAAGACAAAAGAAAUGGGAAGCACUUGGAGAGAGAAUGAGAGGGAGAUGAUGAGUAACGUGAGGAGGUCGUGGGGAACAGAAGACAGGACAGAAAGAGAGAUUAAAAAGGAGAGGAUGAGUAACGUGAGGAGGUCGUGGGGAACAGAAGACAGGACAGAAAGAGAGAGUAAAAAGGAGAGGAUGAGUAACGUGAGGAGGUCGUGGGGAACAGAAGACAGGACAGAAAGAGAGAGUAAAAAGGAGAGGAUGAGUAACGUGAGGAGGUCGUGGGGAACAGAAGACAGGACAGAAAGAGAGAGUAAAAAGGAGAGGAUGAGUAACGUGAGGAGGUCGUGGGGAACAGAAGACAGGACAGAAAGAGAGAGUAAAAAGGAGAGGAUGAGUAA
This is a long non-coding RNA of Oncorhynchus keta (chum salmon), 1081 nucleotides long. RefSeq lists it as uncharacterized. The transcript has 4 exons. The record is from RefSeq and is a predicted model, not a curated record. NCBI's taxonomy places the organism in Eukaryota, Metazoa, Chordata, Actinopteri, Salmoniformes, Salmonidae.